Long non-coding RNA from Gasterosteus aculeatus aculeatus (three-spined stickleback), 738 nucleotides. Lineage: Eukaryota; Metazoa; Chordata; Actinopteri; Perciformes; Gasterosteidae. The record is from Ensembl.
CUCUGAUUCAGAAGAGGAAGAUGUAUCAGAAGAAGAAGAAGAUGGGGAGGAAUACAACCCAGAGCAUGAUGAAUCAUCUUCAGAAGAAGAAGAAAACCCUGAAGCUGAAACAGAGACUUUCCUUUCAAAAAAUGGAAAAAUAACAUGGUCCUCAGCAGCAUAUGACCAACACGGCAGGCAUGCAGCACAAAACGUCAUAAAGAAGACCCCAGGACCCACAAGGUCCCGAGGUGAGGCUGCAGCUAGUCUAUGGGAUGCAGAGAGUGGAAGGCCAAUUUUCCGAGCCACAAUGGCACUCAAACUCUUUCACACCUACUCAAGACUGCUACGAUUUGAUGACCGUGAGUCAAGACCAGCAAGACGUGUGACAGACAAACUUGCAGCCAUAAGAGAGGUCUGGGACAAGUGGGUGGAGCGGCUGCCCUACCUCUACAAUCCAGGGCCUGACGUAACAGUGGAUGAGCAACAGGUUCCAUUUUGAGGUCGUUGUCUUUUCCGGCAGUAUAUGCCCAGCAAGCCAGCAAAAUAUGGGAUCAAGUCAUGGGUGGCUUGCGAUGCCAAAUCAAGCUAUGCUUGGAAAAUGCAAAUCUAUACCGGGAAGCCGACCAGUGGAUGCCCAGAGAAGACCCAGGGGAUGAGAGUUGUGCUUCAUGUGACAGAGGGACUGAGGGGUCACAAUGUGACAUGUGACAAUUUCUUCACCUCUCAUGAACGUGGACAGCAGCUCCUGAAGAGGAA